GUGGGGAAUAUUGCACAAUGGGGGAAACCCUGAUGCAGCGACGCCGCGUGAGUGAAGAAGUAUUUCGGUAUGUAAAGCUCUAUCAGCAGGGAAGAAAAUGACGGUACCUGACUAAGAAGCCCCGGCUAACUACGUGCCAGCAGCCGCGGUAAUACGUAGGGGGCAAGCGUUAUCCGGAUUUACUGGGUGUAAAGGGAGCGUAGACGGCUUUGCAAGUCUGACGUGAAACUCCGGGGCUCAACUCCGGAACUGCGUUGGAAACUGUAAGGCUUGAGUGCCGGAGAGGUAAGCGGAAUUCCUAGUGUAGCGGUGAAAUGCGUAGAUAUUAGGAGGAACACCAGUGGCGAAGGCGGCUUACUGGACGGCAACUGACGUUGAGGCUCGAAAGCGUGGGGAGCAAACAGGAUUAGAAACCCUGGUAGUCC
Molecule: ribosomal RNA, 425 nt
Filed under: uncultured bacterium
Lineage: Bacteria
Description: bacterial SSU rRNA
Rfam family: Bacterial small subunit ribosomal RNA
Source: RNAcentral